AAAAAAACAUAAUAAAAGUUAGAAAUUAUAUUAAUAAUAUUUUAAUUAUCGUAUAAAAAUUAAUAAAAUUUUAAAAUUCAAUAUGGUUAAAGCAUUUUGUCGAAACGACACUUGAUUUAUAUUCAUUAAAUAUUUUCUAACAUACGUUGCAAGAUAUAAAGUAGUUUUCAAAGAUAUAUUUGGAUCAUUAUCGACUAAAAUAACAGUAAUUAUAGUGAUCAUGGUCCAAAGAUUGGAAGAAAAAUGUUAUUAGAUUCGACAUAAUUCAUGUUGUGUAACAAGUGUUGUAACUGUUUAGUUACUACGUCGGAAAUCAGAUUUUUAACUAUUCUUUAACUGUUAAAAUAUAAUAGUUAAUUCAAUUCCUCCCUAAAUUCUUUUAAACAUCACGUCAUAACUCAACUGGAAACUCCUCUAUUCUCACGCAUUGAUGUAUAUCAUCUGCACGCGUGAUGUCAUACCACUUCCGCAGUUAUUCCAUAACAUUUUACUGCCAGCCACGCGUUACGUCAUAAUCCCUCAGGCACAUCUCUGUUUUCAUAUCUCUAUCGAGAAAUGUUAUUACUGACGUCAAACUUCUGACGAGGUUUUUCGUUGUCCCUUGACGCAUGUGAGAAUCAUUUUUAUUUGGUUGUGUCCAAGGCUUGUACCAAACCAAGGAUAUUUUAUAUAACAGGUGGUUGGUUCAGUACAACCUUGGACACAAACCAAACCUGGUUUUCACCUACGUCAAUGGACAAGGACAAGGUUCCCAUUUGCGUCGAAGGACCCAUCUGCGUCAAGGGACAAGGUUCCAAGGUUCCCAUUUGCGUCGAAGGACCCAUCUGCGUCAAGGGACAAGGUUCCAAGGUUCCCAUCUGCGCAAAGGGAGGACUCCGUCCUUCUCCCUUUGCACAGAUGGGAGUUCUGCCUGAGCUCAGGUCUUUUAUUAGUUUCUAACAAAUAUAAAUCUAAACAAUGAAUUAAGUAAUGUCUACCGGCAAUAGUAGUAAACCGGAUAAAAACA
RNAcentral lists this long non-coding RNA (1006 nucleotides) under Androctonus crassicauda. Lineage: Eukaryota; Metazoa; Arthropoda; Arachnida; Scorpiones; Buthidae. The record is from RNAcentral.